This 307-nucleotide transfer-messenger RNA is filed under the name Pseudomonas protegens. It matches the Rfam family "transfer-messenger RNA", at positions 42 to 323 of the family's 374-position model. Rfam says of the family: Bacterial tmRNA, also known as 10Sa RNA or SsrA, is named for its dual tRNA and mRNA-like properties. Its role is to liberate the mRNA from a stalled ribosome. The record is from RNAcentral. Lineage: Bacteria; Pseudomonadati; Pseudomonadota; Gammaproteobacteria; Pseudomonadales; Pseudomonadaceae.
GGUGCAUGCCGAGUUGGUAACAGAACUCGUAAAUCCACUGUUGCAACUUCCUAUAGUUGCCAAUGACGAAACCUACGGGGAUUACGCUCUCGCUGCGUAAGCAGCCUUAGCCCUUCCCCCCUGGUACCUUCGGGUCCAGCAAUCAUCAGGGGAUGUCUGUAAACCCAAAAUGAUUGUCAUAUAGAACAGAAUCGCCGUGCAGUACGUUGUGGACGAAGCGGCUAAAACUUACACAACUCGCCCAAAGCACCCUCGCCCGUCGGGUCGCUGAGGUUAACUCAAUAGACACGGCUAAGCAUGUAGUACC